UAAGUAUGGCAGCAUACAUGCACUGCUCUCCUGGCCACUCAGUCCCUAGAAAAGUGUUGAUGGUAUCAGGAUCAUAACUGAUCAAAUGUCUACGUACAUAGCUCAUGUACCUUCCUGCGGACACUCCUUCUCUCGGCAAGGCAUUUGCAUAAAACUCCUUCACCAACUCAAUACUAGCUGGUGCUCGAUAAGUAGUCAGUC
RNAcentral lists this long non-coding RNA (201 nucleotides) under Vigna radiata. Its description in RNAcentral is "long non-coding RNA (VRAD_LNC013398)". Lineage: Eukaryota; Viridiplantae; Streptophyta; Magnoliopsida; Fabales; Fabaceae. The record is from RNAcentral.